RNAcentral lists this ribosomal RNA (447 nucleotides) under uncultured bacterium. RNAcentral's name for it is "bacterial SSU rRNA". It matches the Rfam family "Bacterial small subunit ribosomal RNA", at positions 331 to 794 of the family's 1533-position model. The record is from RNAcentral.
GUCGACUCCUACGGGAGGCAGCAGUGGGGGAUAUUGCACAAUGGGGGAAACCCUGAUGCAGCGACGCCGCGUGAGUGAAGAAGUAUUUCGGUAUGUAAAGCUCUAUCAGCAGGGAAGAAAAAAGACGGUACCUGACUAAGAAGCCCCGGCUAACUACGUGCCAGCAGCCGCGGUAAUACGUAGGGGGCGAGCGUUAUCCGGAUUCACUGGGUGUAAAGGGAGCGUAGACGGCCAUGCAAGCCAGGGGUGAAAGCCCGGGGCCCAACCCCGGGACUGCCCUUGGAACUGCAUGGCUGGAGUGCGGGAGGGGCAGGCGGAAUUCCUGGUGUAGCGGUGAAAUGCGUAGAUAUCAGGAGGAACACCGGCGGCGAAGGCGGCCUGCUGGACCGCGACUGACGUUGAGGCUCGAAAGCGUGGGGAGCGAACAGGAUUAGAUACCCGGGUAGG